This 521-nucleotide ribosomal RNA is filed under the name uncultured Pleosporales. RNAcentral describes it as "eukaryotic LSU rRNA". The stretch from base 156 to 309 matches the Rfam family "5.8S ribosomal RNA". Lineage: Eukaryota; Fungi; Ascomycota; Dothideomycetes; Pleosporales. The record is from RNAcentral.
GGAGGAUCAUUAUCGUAGGGCUUCGGCCCUGUCGAGAUAGAACCCUUGCCUUUUUGAGUACCUUUCGUUUCCUCGGCAGGCUCGCCUGCCAAUGGGGACCACAAAAAACACUUUGCAGUACCUGUAACAGUCUGAACAAACAAAACAAAAAUUAAAACUUUCAACAACGGAUCUCUUGGUUCUGGCAUCGAUGAAGAACACAGCGAAAUGCGAUAAGUAGUGUGAAUUGCAGAAUUCAGUGAAUCAUCGAAUCUUUGAACGCACAUUGCGCCCUUUGGUAUUCCUUAGGGCAUGCCUGUUCGAGCGUCAUUUAAACCUUCAAGCUAAGCUUGGUGUUGGGUGACUGUCCGCUUCACUGCGGACUCGCCUCAAAAUUAUUGGCGGCCGGUACAUUGGCUUCGAGCGCAGCAGAAACGCGAACUCGGGCCCGUCGUAUUGGCUCCCAGAAGCUAUCUUCACAAUUUUGACCUCGGAUCAGGUAGGGAUACCCGCUGAACUUAAGCAUAUCAAUAAGCGGAGGA